RNAcentral lists this long non-coding RNA (982 nucleotides) under Anser cygnoides (Swan goose). Its description in RNAcentral is "lncRNA (ENSACDG00005014607.1)". Lineage: Eukaryota; Metazoa; Chordata; Aves; Anseriformes; Anatidae. The record is from RNAcentral.
GCAUUGUAAGAAUGCCUCUGUGUAAUAUUCAGUGCGCUAAAAUUGCAUAAAUACUCUUUUUAGUGUUUAAUGUGAAUAUGAAAUAAAAAUAAAUAAAUAAAUAAAUAAAAGCCUCCUAAUGAAAUAGUGAUAAGCACAAGUUAUAAUAAAUAUUAAAUAUUUUUCUAACAAUAAACAUGGAUUUUUAGAGUGACAGCUAAUGUCAUGAUUGGAAUUUCCUUUAUAUUAAAUAGCAUUAGGAAAGUAUAAUUAGAAAUGAUAGUUUUCUACCACGUUGAAGAAUAAUUUAUGGAACCUCAGCAGAGAUGUUUUGAGAUGAAGAGUAUAAGUUAAAUAGAGAGUUGCAAACAAAGUGGCAGAGCAUUGUUUUUCAAAACAAACUGUGCCGAUACUUUUUCUUUUUGUCGUUUAUUUAAUUAAGGGCACUUGGCUAAUUAUUUCUAUUUAAAGAAGGUCCCUUUUAGAAAUCUUUCAAUUUCAAGAGCUUGUGCUUGAAAUUUACUCCAAUCUUUCUUUUUGUACCAAAUUUAUAUAUUUUCUUUCUUCCUUUUUUAUUUACUUGUAUCAUUUUAAUCUAUACUUUGGUACUUCAGCUUUUCUCCUCUAAAAAAUAAGAAAUUUCUCCUCUAAGAAAUAAGUUUCAAUGUUUUCCUUGUCUUAAGCUUUGAAAAAAGACCUGACUGUUGAAACUCUAUGCUGAGAAAAAUGCCUUCGGACACUGUGUUCCAACACAGGUGUCCCAUGUCUACAAAAUCCCAUAAAGACAACUAGCAUUGAGAUCCAAUGCUUUCAGGUAGACCUGAGGUUGAUCUUCCCUUCACACUGUGUUAUUAGGACUUGCUUCCUGCCAGGCUGCACAUGAGACAAACUCCUCUGAUGAAAGUCAGGGAUAUAACUUCAGCCCUGAGACUUCACUGAAGAGCCAUGAGGGUGAAGAGAAAAGCAGAGAGAUGGUUCGAAUGGGAUUGUAACUAUUUUGAUA